UCCCUAUGGGGCGCACCAGGCGCGAAAACUUUACAAUGCGGGCAACCGUGAUAAGGGAACCUCGAGUGCCUGUAUAUGCAGGCUGUCCAGGUGUCUAAAACACACCUGAAGAAAGGGCCGGGCAAGACCGGUGCCAGCCGCCGCGGUAAUUCA
RNAcentral lists this ribosomal RNA (153 nucleotides) under uncultured archaeon. Its description in RNAcentral is "partial 16S ribosomal RNA". It matches the Rfam family "Archaeal small subunit ribosomal RNA", at positions 319 to 477 of the family's 1478-position model. The record is from RNAcentral. RNAcentral also lists the same sequence under 1 other name.